This 1018-nucleotide ribosomal RNA is filed under the name uncultured bacterium. RNAcentral's name for it is "bacterial SSU rRNA". It matches the Rfam family "Bacterial small subunit ribosomal RNA", at positions 357 to 1376 of the family's 1533-position model. The record is from RNAcentral.
AGGAAUAUUGGUCAAUGGACGAGAGUCUGAACCAGCCAAGUAGCGUGAAGGAUGAAGGUCCUAUGGAUUGUAAACUUCUUUUAUACGGGAAUAAAGUGCAGUAUGCAUACUGUUUUGUAUGUACCGUAUGAAUAAGGACCGGCUAAUUCCGUGCCAGCAGCCGCGGUAAUACGGAAGGUCCGGGCGUUAUCCGGAUUUAUUGGGUUUAAAGGGAGCGUAGGCCGGAGAUUAAGCGUGUUGUGAAAUGUAGACGCUCAACGUCUGCACUGCAGCGCGAACUGGUUUCCUUGAGUACGCACAAAGUGGGCGGAAUUCGUGGUGUAGCGGUGAAAUGCUUAGAUAUCACGAAGAACUCCGAUUGCGAAGGCAGCUCACUGGAGCGCAACUGACGCUGAAGCUCGAAAGUGCGGGUAUCGAACAGGAUUAGAUACCCUGGUAGUCCGCACGGUAAACGAUGGAUGCCCGCUGUUGGUCUGAACAGGUCAGCGGCCAAGCGAAAGCAUUAAGCAUCCCACCUGGGGAGUACGCCGGCAACGGUGAAACUCAAAGGAAUUGACGGGGGCCCGCACAAGCGGAGGAACAUGUGGUUUAAUUCGAUGAUACGCGAGGAACCUUACCCGGGCUUGAAUUGCAGAGGAAGGAUUUGGAGACAAUGACGCCCUUCGGGGUCUCUGUGAAGGUGCUGCAUGGUUGUCGUCAGCUCGUGCCGUGAGGUGUCGGCUUAAGUGCCAUAACGAGCGCAACCCCUCUCCUUAGUUGCCAUCAGGUCAAGCUGGGCACUCUGGGGACACUGCCACCGUAAGGUGUGAGGAAGGUGGGGAUGACGUCAAAUCAGCACGGCCCUUACGUCCGGGGCUACACACGUGUUACAAUGGCAGGUACAGAGAGACGGUCCCUUGCAAAAUGGAUCAAAUCCUCAAAGCCUGUCUCAGUUCGGACUGGGGUCUGCAACCCGACCCCACGAAGCUGGAUUCGCUAGUAAUCGCGCAUCAGCCAUGGCGCGGUGAAUACGUUCCCG